GGUGAAGGGGCGUACAAAAUGGGGGGCAAUUGGCAUCAGAAUGAGAACGGGAGAAAUGGUUACCAACAAGAGACUAGUCAGGAGACAAAGGCUUGGAACUCUGUACAGGAGAAACCAAUUAAGAAUUAUAGUUCUGUUAGCUCUUGGGAUGACUGGGACGAGAAAGAAAAGAAGUCCGAGCCUGUCAAGGGGACUCAGAAUGGGGAUAGCUGGGCGGGCUGGGAUGAUGUUAAAGAUGACAGUUUUGAUAAUUUCAGCCGCAGCUCGCCAAACAAGGGCAUCAGUCAGAACGGGUGGAGUGAAG
Molecule: unclassified non-coding RNA, 304 nt
Filed under: Hevea brasiliensis (rubber tree)
Lineage: Eukaryota; Viridiplantae; Streptophyta; Magnoliopsida; Malpighiales; Euphorbiaceae
Source: RNAcentral